GAUGAACGCUGGCGGCGUGCCUAACACAUGCAAGUCGAACGGAGCUGCUUUGAUGAGAUCUUCGGAUGGAUUUAAAACAGCUUAGUGGCGGACGGGUGAGUAACGCGUGGGUAACCUGCCUCACACUGGGGGAUAACAGUUAGAAAUAGCUGCUAAUACCGCAUAAAGCGCACAGUUCCGCAUGGAACAGUGUGAAAAACUCCGGUGGUGUGAGAUGGACCCGCGUCUGAUUAAGCCAGUUGGCGGGGUAACGGCCCACCAAAGCGACGAUCAGUAGCCGGCCUGAGAGGGUGAACGGCCACAUUGGGACUGAGACACGGCCCAAAAACUU
RNAcentral lists this ribosomal RNA (331 nucleotides) under uncultured bacterium. Its description in RNAcentral is "bacterial SSU rRNA". It matches the Rfam family "Bacterial small subunit ribosomal RNA", at positions 28 to 340 of the family's 1533-position model. The record is from RNAcentral.